Molecule: long non-coding RNA, 310 nt
Organism: Sinocyclocheilus grahami
Lineage: Eukaryota; Metazoa; Chordata; Actinopteri; Cypriniformes; Cyprinidae
Exons: 3
Source: RefSeq, a predicted model, not a curated record
UUUCCAUGAGGCCGAGAGAAGAUGACAUUAAUCUUCAGUACUGUUCUCUGGCACAGCGGUGUCCGGCCAGAUGAUGCCAGCCCACCAUGGUCUUCUGCACAGGGAGCUGUUGGAGGAAAGAGGGCUCCUGAUGCUUUGAAGUCGGCGGGGGUCUGCUGAACUGAAGAGGGACAAUACGCUAUGAAUUCAACACGGCGUUCUUUUGCCUGCCGAGUCACUUAUUUGUUCUCUAGCGCAAUUAAACGUUUCCAGGGCAACGGUUCAAAGAAACCCACAAAAAAAUAACAAUCAAAACAUUAUAAAAAAUGCA